UCACCGAGUUUAUUAGACUGAUGGGUGGCAGGCCUCCAAAAACAAUACUAACAGAUCAAGCGCGGGCUAUGGAGGUCGCUAUAUAUAGAACAAACGAUGCCUGGUACCACACACCGCUGGUGUAAGUGGCAUGUGCUUCGGAAGGCGAAAGAGCACCUCGGGCCGCAUUACACGAAACGAAGUGAUUUUAGGGCGGCGUUCCACAAGGUUGUCAAUGAAAUGCUAACUGUCGAUGAGUUCGAAGCUGCUUGGGCUGAUCUACUUGACAGAUACAAGCUCCACAACAACACCUUCCUGAUCCAGAUUUUCGAGGUUAUGCACAAGUGGGCAAAACCUUAUUUUAGUGGCAAGUUCUGUGCGAAGCAAACCAGUACGCAAAGGAGCGAAAGUGCGAACCAUUUGUUGAAGGGCUACAUUCCCCCGGCUUGCCCCAUGAACCUAUUUGUGAAACAAUACAGCAAGUUGCAGUUCGACCGAGAAGCUGAAGAAGGGUUCCAAGAGAAGAGAACAAGGCUGGGCGGUGUAGUUCUCCGAUACAAUUUUCCUCUGGAAGAGCAUGCGAGCCAGGUGUACACCCGGACGAUGUUUGAGAUGUUUGGUCAGGCUUUGUACCGUGCGGGAAGAUAUGAUGUCGAGGAAGUCGAACGAGGCACGAGGUACCAUGUGCGGCACAUUGAAGCUGAGAAGCGAGAGAAGUGGUGCCGCGAGAUGCAUGCUGUCGAUGUCCAUGAAGGUGGCGCUCGGUACACAUGCGAAUGCAGCUUGUUUGAGCACAUGGGGAUGCUUUGUUGCCAUGCUAUCGAGGUUCUUCUUCAUUUGGGGUGCGGAAGAUACCUAGCUUUCAUGUAAUGAAGCGAUGGACAAUAGAUGCCCGCGACAACUUGCCGCUUCACCUCAUCCAUUACCAGAAAGAUCAAGGCCCUCCGUGAUUGUCAUCCUACCGGCAUACUGCACUACACCUGACAGCACUCGAGUUUGUGCAGCUCGGUGACAGCAAUGUUGAUGCAUUCGAUAGAGCAAUGGACAUUUUAAUUGCAGGCAAGGCUGAACUGACCGUUUUGGCAGCGAUCAAAGAUGGGAAAAGUUUGGUUGACCAAACCCAAGUUGGAGAGUCAGCCAGUCCAACCAUGACUAUGAUGGCAGACGGCGCGCAUCAAGAAGAUGAGCGUUCUGAGAUGUUCAUCUCAACUGAAUGUGGCCUUGGAUCUGUCUCUGUGGGAGGUGAUUCCAGGCAUCCAUUAUCCACUUUAUUGGCCCCUGAUAGGAAGAAGCAGAAGGGUAGGCCGACAACGGCGAGGGACAAGCCUGGAUAUGAGAUCAAAUACGCGCGAUCAAGAUUUUGCACUGUUUGUAGAGAGAAAGGGCACAAGAGCACGACGUGCCCCCGCAGGGGGGACCUUCCUAAGAAACCCCGCAAAAUCCCUACAUGUGGCAAUUGUGGUGUGGCUGGGCACAAGAAAACAAGUUGUUUCAACCCAGUGUUGCCGUUUGUGAAGAGGCCUCGCGACGGACCAGUGGAAUGAUGUCCAUUUCAUGAUAUGAUGCAAACUUUGAUUGAAUCAGUCGAGAGUAUUAUGUUUUCUGCUUGUUAGGACUGUUGGCUUGUAAUUCUAAUAAAAGUUGUGCCUGUCUUUGGGGGACUGGACGUAGGUUGCUGUUUUUUAACUGUUAUUUCGGUGUUUUAGUUUCUGAGCCUCAGGAUGUGCUGUAGGUUUGUUAACUUUUCAAGUGAUGUUUAAUUUCAGCUACUUAGGACUCAUUUGGGUUUGCUGUGAGGUGGUUUGGAUUAAAAACGACAUGCUAGCUCGUUGUGUGGUUUGCUGUAGAUGGAAGCUUGUUUUUGUCAUCUG
This 1850-nucleotide ribosomal RNA is filed under the name Triticum aestivum (bread wheat). RNAcentral describes it as "partial small subunit ribosomal RNA". The record is from RNAcentral. Lineage: Eukaryota; Viridiplantae; Streptophyta; Magnoliopsida; Poales; Poaceae.